Podarcis lilfordi (Lilford's wall lizard) is the source of this 77-nucleotide non-coding RNA. Lineage: Eukaryota; Metazoa; Chordata; Lepidosauria; Squamata; Lacertidae. The record is from the annotation of a GenBank genome assembly.
GGAAAGUGCUCUAGCUCAGUAGGUAGAACAUCUGCUUUGCAUGCAGAAGGUCACAGGUUCGAUCCCUGACAUCUCCA